UGGGGAAUCGUCUAACGGCAGGACUACGGAUUCUGAUUCCGUCAAUCAAGGUUCGAAUCCUUGUUCCCCAACCA
Molecule: transfer RNA, 74 nt
Filed under: Flavobacteriales bacterium
Lineage: Bacteria; Pseudomonadati; Bacteroidota; Flavobacteriia; Flavobacteriales
Description: tRNA-Gln
Rfam family: tRNA
About the family: Transfer RNA (tRNA) molecules are approximately 80 nucleotides in length. Their secondary structure includes four short double-helical elements and three loops (D, anti-codon, and T loops).
Source: RNAcentral